CUGUUCGAGCGUCAUUGCAACCCUCAAGCACUGCUUGGUAUUAGAUGCCACCACUGUGGUGCGUCUUAAAAGUAUUGGCGGCGGCAUUCAGCUUCUAGCGUAGUAAUCUUCUCGCCUUGGAGUUUGAGUGUCCGACUGCUAGAACCCCUAAUUUAUCAAAGGUUGACCUCGGAUCAGGUAGGGAUACCCGCUGAACUUAG
Molecule: unclassified non-coding RNA, 200 nt
Filed under: soil metagenome
Description: partial contains internal transcribed spacer 2 and large subunit ribosomal RNA
Source: RNAcentral